AUUGAACGCUGGCGGCAUGCUUUACACAUGCAAGUCGAACGGCAGCACGGGGGCAACCUUGGUGGCGAGUGGCGAACGGGUGAGUAACAUAUCGGAACAUAUCCGGAAGUGGGGGAUAACGUACCGAAAGGUACGCUAAUACCGCAUAUGCCCUGAGGGGGAAAGGAGGGGAUUCGCAAGAACCUUUCGCUUUCGGAGUGGCCGAUAUCGGAUUAGCUAGUUGGUGAGGUAAAGGCUCACCAAGGCGACGAUCCGUAGCGGGUCUGAGAGGACGACC
This 277-nucleotide ribosomal RNA is filed under the name uncultured bacterium. Its description in RNAcentral is "partial 16S ribosomal RNA". It matches the Rfam family "Bacterial small subunit ribosomal RNA", at positions 30 to 305 of the family's 1533-position model. The record is from RNAcentral.